AGAUUAAACUGAAGAGUUUGAUCCUGGCUCAGAUUGAACGCUGGCGGGAUGCUUUACACAUGCAAGUCGGACGGCAGCACGGGGCUUCGGCCUGGUGGCGAGUGGCGAACGGGUGAGUAAUGUAUCGGAACGUGCCCGGUAGCGGGGGAUAACUACGCGAAAGCGUGGCUAAUACCGCAUACGCCCUACGGGGGAAAGCGGGGGACCUUCGGGCCUCGCACUAUUGGAGCGGCCGAUAUCGGAUUAGCUAGUUGGUGGGGUAACGGCCUACCAAGGCGACGAUCCGUAGCUGGUUUGAGAGGACGACCAGUCACACUGGGACUGAGACACGGCCCAGACUCCUACGGGAGGCAGCAGUGGGGAAUUUUGGACAAUGGGGGCAACCCUGAUCCAGCCAUCCCGCGUGUGCGAUGAAGGCCUUCGGGUUGUAAAGCACUUUUGGCAGGAAAGAAACGGCACGGGCUAAUAUCCUGUGCAACUGACGGUACCUGCAGAAUAAGCACCGGCUAACUACGUGCCAGCAGCCGCGGUAAUACGUAGGGUGCAAGCGUUAAUCGGAAUUACUGGGCGUAAAGCGUGCGCAGGCGGUUCGGAAAGAAAGAUGUGAAAUCCCAGGGCUUAACCUUGGAACUGCAUUUUUAACUACCGAGCUAGAGUGUGUCAGAGGGAGGUGGAAUUCCGCGUGUAGCAGUGAAAUGCGUAGAUAUGCGGAGGAACACCGAUGGCGAAGGCAGCCUCCUGGGAUAACACUGACGCUCAUGCACGAAAGUGUGGGAGCAAACAGGAUUAGAUACCCUGGUAGUCCACGCCCUAAACGAUGUCAACUAGCUGUUGGGGCCUUCGGGCCUUGGUAGCGCAGCUAACGCGUGAAGUUGACCGCCUGGGAGUACGGUCGCAAGAUUAAAACUCAAAGGAAUUGACGGGGACCCGCACAAGCGGUGGAUGAUGUGGAUUAAUUCGAUGCAACGCGAAAAACCUUACCUACCCUUGACAUGUCUGGAAUCCCGAAGAGAUUUGGGAGUGCUCGCAAGAGAACCGGAACACAGGUGCUGCAUGGCUGUCGUCAGCUCGUGUCGUGAGAUGUUGGGUUAAGUCCCGCAACGAGCGCAACCCUUGUCAUUAGUUGCUACGAAAGGGCACUCUAAUGAGACUGCCGGUGACAAACCGGAGGAAGGUGGGGAUGACGUCAAGUCCUCAUGGCCCUUAUGGGUAGGGCUUCACACGUCAUACAAUGGUCGGGACAGAGGGUUGCCAACCCGCGAGGGGGAGCCAAUCCCAGAAACCCGGUCGUAGUCCGGAUCGCAGUCUGCAACUCGACUGCGUGAAGUCGGAAUCGCUAGUAAUCGCGGAUCAGCAUGUCGCGGUGAAUACGUUCCCGGGUCUUGUACACACCGCCCGUCACACCAUGGGAGUGGGUUUUACCAGAAGUAGUUAGCCUAACCGCAAGGGGGGCGAUUACCACGGUAGGAUUCAUGACUGGGGUGAAGUCGUAACAAGGUAGCCGUAUCGGAAGGUGCGGCUGGAUCACCUCCUUU
RNAcentral lists this ribosomal RNA (1535 nucleotides) under Bordetella holmesii. RNAcentral's name for it is "bacterial SSU rRNA". It matches the Rfam family "Bacterial small subunit ribosomal RNA". The record is from RNAcentral. Lineage: Bacteria; Pseudomonadati; Pseudomonadota; Betaproteobacteria; Burkholderiales; Alcaligenaceae.